AUUGAACGCUGGCGGCAGGCCUAACACAUGCAAGUCGAACGGCAGCACAGAAGAGCUUGCUCUUUGGGUGGCGAGUGGCGGACGGGUGAGUAAUGUCUGGGAAACUGCCCGAUGGAGGGGGAUAACUACUGGAAACGGUAGAUAAUACCGCAUAACGUCGCGAGACCAAAGUGGGGGACCUUCGGGCCUCACACCAUCGGAUGUGCCCAGAUGGGGUUAGCUAGUAGGUGGGGUAAUGGCUCACCUAGGCGACGAUCCCUAGCUGGUCUGAGAGGAUGACCAGCCACACCGGAACUGAGACACGGUCCAGACUCCUACGGGAGGCAGCAGUGGGGAAUAUUGCACAAUGGGCGCAAGCCUGAUGCAGCCAUGCCGCGUGUAUGGAGAAGGCCUUCGGGUUGUAAAGUACUUUCAGCGGGGAGGAAGGCGGUGAGGUUAAUAACCUUGCCGAUUGACGUUACCCGCAGAAGAAGCACCGGCUAACUCCGUGCCAGCCGCCGCGGUAA
This 506-nucleotide ribosomal RNA is filed under the name uncultured bacterium. RNAcentral describes it as "partial 16S ribosomal RNA". It matches the Rfam family "Bacterial small subunit ribosomal RNA", at positions 29 to 523 of the family's 1533-position model. The record is from RNAcentral.